GUCAGCCUGACCUUUGAAGCUUUGAAGCCAGGGAUUGACUUCUCUCUAGCUGUGAAAGUCCUAGAUGGCGGCUUCUUCCCAUGAAAGGCUGUCUUGUCUGCAUUGUAGCCUCCUUCA
RNAcentral lists this microRNA precursor (117 nucleotides) under Otolemur garnettii (small-eared galago). RNAcentral's name for it is "miRNA (ENSOGAG00000021103.1)". The record is from RNAcentral. Lineage: Eukaryota; Metazoa; Chordata; Mammalia; Primates; Galagidae.